GUCAGACAAACACACAGACACGCACACACUCACGCACAUGCGCCAGCCCCAGCGCCACUAACUACAAAUCCCAGCAGGCAGAGGUGGUGUGGGGCCUAGAGUCUGAUGUUUUCCUCCGGAAGUGGAGUCCGGCAGGUGUGGUGGCGAUCCCUUCGGGGAGGGGUGGCUGGCCGCAGACUAAGGGCUGCUGGUACAGGGAACGGUGGGUGUUAACGAGGGCCCACAGUAGGCACACGGGGUGCGCACCUCCUUGACUCGGACUCCAUUGCCCGGGCUAACUCCGGUACAGGAGGGAGGAUGAGACCCUGAAGCGGGACUGAGCUUGUUAGGGUCCUUGUAUGGCUUGCAAGUCUCAGGAAAGGCCUGGGUCCUCCUUGUCCCCUGAAUGUAGGUCCUGACCCUGGGCAUCAGGAUGGGAGGCUACUCUGGGGGCAAUAAUGGAGACACUCGUAAGCUACCACUCUCUUAAAGGCCUCUGCCCCCAACCCAUGUGUCACGACUCUUGUUCUAAUUUCCCAGGUUGCCCAAAGAGCCUCUGAGAUGCUGAAGGGACUUACCCAAACCCUUCAGUGCAAACCGAGCUAGAUGGGGUGAGCGGAGCUGAGGCCCCCCACUUCCUCCACCUCCGCCUGGGGCUGCUCUCUCCUGAAGUCUCUUCUCAGCUGAUUUCUGGCUCCCAAGUGGGGACUCAGGUUACACCUGUAUUGGGAGCAGUGACACCGUGGUGGCCAGGAACGUAUGGACUUUCUGUCUCCGACCCCAUUUUUAGUUUCUACAUUCCUGUGCUGCUGCAGGCCUGAUGGUCAGUAUAGAUCCAGAAGUCAGGCUCUGAGGGUGUGGCCAUGACACUGUUAAGAAAGCCCUCACUCUCUUCUGCCAGGGUGAGACCGCCUACUUUCUGGAAAUAUUCCAGCUAGUCUCAAAACAAUUAGGAACGACUUCAGAAGGAACUCCAAGUAGAUUGCCUACGUUCUCCUGGUAGCAAGGUGAAAUUGGUAUUAAUUGGUCCCAAUGGUCUCCAUGUAUACCCAUGUAGGCCUGGAAAUUUCUCAGAGACUUCUUUUUGAGUUCUGGAUCUUUCUGUUAAGACAACUAACAUUUGGGAAGCUGAGGCAGAAGGAUCAUGAGUUCAGGUCCAGCUUGGGCUACGUAAUGAGACUGUCAAAAAAAAAAAAAAAGCAAAACAAAAAUCCAUCAUUUUAAAUAGGUUCUUGCCACAGAGGUAAGAGGUAAAUACCAUAAAAGUUUGGGGACAACCAUUGCUCCAGUCCCUAGUUGAAGAGCCCAUUCUCCCACGAUUAGAAUUUAUUUUUAUUAUUAAUUUUUGGUUGGGAGGGGUUGAUGUAGUUGUUUUGUUUGAGGCUGUCAUAGAAAUGUUUGAGUCAACCAGGCCUGUAAUCCCAGUUUCUCAGGAGGCUGAGGCAAGAAAAUUUCAAGUUUAAGGCCUGCCUGGAUCACUUAGUGAAACCCUGUCUCAAAGUCAAACGUGCAAAAAAGAAAUAAAAAGGAUAAAAUAAAUAAAAAGGAAGGACAUGGUGCUCCCAGGUAUGGUAAAGGAGAAGGUUUAUUGUAGAUAUGAGGGAGGAAACAGGAAGAGAGAUCUGGAAAGUCCAGAGUGAACAUGACCCUGAUCCAAGCGAUGUGAAAAGAGGGAGGAGGGAUAGAGACAAGAGACCAAAAUGCCUAAAGGGCACAAAAGGCCCCGAGUAGCCGAAAUGGCUGGAUUAUAUAGGGAAGAGCAGCUGGGGGCAGGCUGGAGAAGACGGGGAGAGGGCAAGGUGUGCCAGCCAGGAGGACCCUGUAACAGGUUUGGAGGCAGACAUUUAUCGUUUGGUACAAGAAGGCAUUCCUCUGAG
Molecule: long non-coding RNA, 1856 nt
Filed under: Cricetulus griseus (Chinese hamster)
Lineage: Eukaryota; Metazoa; Chordata; Mammalia; Rodentia; Cricetidae
Description: lncRNA (ENSCGRG00015042262.1)
Source: RNAcentral